This 711-nucleotide long non-coding RNA is filed under the name Hordeum vulgare. RNAcentral describes it as "long non-coding RNA (HVUL_LNC021140)". The record is from RNAcentral. Lineage: Eukaryota; Viridiplantae; Streptophyta; Magnoliopsida; Poales; Poaceae.
GGGGCUCCUUUGGGGCAAUGCGUGAUGUGUGCUCUAUGACUUAUCUAGUGCUCUGGAUCUGUUUCUUUGGAGUUGCAUUUGUGAGGGAUUUAGGAUUAAUUGGAGCCCUAGCUCGCCUAAAGAUAAGACCUCGAUAUUCAUCAUACGUGUGGCACAAUGAACACCCUACCACACUACUCGUCCGUUCGUACCUAGGAGCAAGUCCACACGACCCUGUGUGGGCGAACAUUAAAAUUGCCCCCGCACUUCGGGCGUAGCUACGACGGCCCGCACGCCGAUCCAACAACAACUACUCACCCCAUCCGGACACCCCACAUGUGUGGCAUGAAGAAAUUAUGCACUAGCAUUUUUUAUGGCAACUUUAGUUACCGAGGAUGGCAACUUUAUUUCUAAAUCAUGGCAACUUUCUAUUUGGAUCACGAGUUACGGCUUUUUUGGGUNUUUUUUUUUUCUCGGAUGGAAAUUUUAGUUGUAAAAAUGUUAGGACAAUGUUAUUUCGUGCCAUACGUGUGGUACUUAUCAUUUGGCCAAUGUGUAAUGUGUGAUCAAACCAUAGUUGUCAUGUAUAGUCAACCAUAGUUGUCAUGUAUGGUCAACCAUACGUUCCAUGUAUGAUUAACUAGGUGCCACGUGUGUUUGAACCAUAGUGGUCAUGUAUGGUCAACCAUAGUUGGCAUGUGUGAUUAACAAGUUGCCACGUGUGGUCAAACC